Molecule: long non-coding RNA, 3433 nt
Filed under: Homo sapiens (human)
Lineage: Eukaryota; Metazoa; Chordata; Mammalia; Primates; Hominidae
Description: long non-coding RNA NONHSAT178075.1
Source: RNAcentral
AAAAAUGCAGGUUUAAUCAUUUCCAUCUAGGGUGCACAUCACUGGAAUUCUAGGGAGAUAUUACCCUACACACCUACCUCUACUUCAUAAAAUGCACUUGUCACCUGUGGGUUCAACCCUCAGUGCUAAUGAAAAUCCAGUGCAAAUGAAGCAAACAAGCUAUGGUAAAGGCGAUAGGAUCAAAUUGGUUUCUUUUUUAUAUUUUUCUAAGCUUCUAUACAGAUUACUUUGAGUUAAAAUGGUAGAGUUAACAGAAAUGCUGAAAAUUUCCUCUCCCCAAUUGUUUGUGCAAUCUUCAGAAACUGUCAGAGGAAAAUAAAUUUUUAGCAACUGCAGUAAAAAUGCAGAAAACAAAAAUGCUUCAAAUUAUCAGAAAUUGCACAAUCUAGUUUCCCACUGCAGAUUAAGAACGAGGCCGUCAGUAAGCAGAAAAUCAUUACUUCUUGCAAUUCACCUAAGGAAUUGAAGUUUCUCCCACAUCUUAUCUACCCCGGAGCAUUUUCAACUUUCAUCUCCAUUUGCAGCAAAUCUCUGCUUGCAGUGAGCAGAAUUCUGCACUGCACUCACCGUGGAGGGUACCUGGGUCCUGGCUAUUCUCAUCGACCUGCCUGACAUUUCCCACAGGGCCAGCUGGAGGUUUGUGCUGGAGCUCAGGGAGUGAAUCUACUUCCACCUGCAAGCUGCAGUGAGGGAUGGGUGGAGCAUUGGGUGGAGCAGGAGAGAAGGAGCCGGCCCUCUGUGGGCCAGAGGAACAAGACAUAAUAUCAAAUAUCUUCUUUCUGCCUUGAUGCGACCAUUUACUGUGGUUUUGUCACGUGCUAGGCACUGACCUGAGUCCUUCACACACAUUAUAUCAUUUUGUCUCUUCCAUGGGCUUUUGAAGUAAGAGCUAUUCUCAUCCCAUCAAGCUGAAAUCCAAAUUCAAGUUGUCUGAUUUCACUAUGAGGCCCUGACUGAGAGAGAACAUCCUAAGGGAGAGGUUUUACUGAAACAGAAAGGAGAGGCACCAAAUUCUAAUCCACCUUCGACACCCCUAUAGCAAAUUUGACUGGAAUGCAAGAAUAAUUUGUUAUUAGAUAAAACAAUGCUAUAGAUCAUUGCAUUGGAAAAUUAAAGGGGAAAAUAUUAUAGUUACUAUAUACCUAUCAGUGGCCAAAAAGCAUAGGCUACUAUUCAGCCUUUCAUUUCUAAUACAAACGCUAGAUAAAACAGGAGCAGCUGAAGCUCGUCUAAGCAGGGUAAAGACUGAAAAGUCAACAGUGAACAUCAAGUUCAAUCAGCGCUCUCAACUUUGGCUGCUCAUUCGAGCCACCUGCAGAUCCUUGAAAUUCCCAAGGUCACACAGCACACCAAUUGCAUCAGAAUCUGUGGGGGCAAGAGCCAGGCAUCAGUAUUUAUUUUAAAGUUCCUCAGAUGAUUCCAAUUUGCAGCCAGUAUUGGAAAGCGCUGGGUUAAAUUGGGCUUUCCCAGCCCAAUUUAGCGCCGCUUUUCCCAUCAGGAGAUGCGGUGGGGUGGAACAUGCUGGGAUGUCUCUCUGGUUUGGUUUGAAGGCUGGCUCCAAGGGUACAGGUGUUACCGGUGGGGGGUGUUCAGGUUCUUGGAGUCUUGGACAAGAGUUGGACAAAACGCACAAAGAAAGAAAGAAAAGAAUAAAGCAACAAAGCAGAGAUUUACUGAAAAUGAAAGUACACUCCACAGUGUGGAAGUUGACCCAAGCAAGCAGAUUAAAAGCCAAGUUACAGAAUUUUCUGGGGUUUGAAAACCCUCUAGAGGUUGCCCAUUGGUUACUUGGUUUACACCCUAUGUAAAUGAAGUAGUGGCCUACAAUCAGUCUGAUUGGUUGUGGGAGGGGACCAAUCAGAGGCUGAAGUGAAGUUACAAAGUUAUACUCCUAUGCAAAUGAAGACUUGGCCUGGGACCAGCCUGAUUGAUUGCAGGAGGGGACCAAUCAGAGGCCCCACUCGCCAAGUACACACUGAAGCCUCACCAUUGUGCUCCCGUCAAAGCCCUGGUUUCCUCCAUGGGAGCUGGCCCUUCAGGACCUCUCAGCUGUGCUCCUGUGGGGUCUGGCAGCUCUCUGAAAAUCGCCGGGAAAGUUGGGAUUGCCCCGCAGCGUGGGGGUGAUGCCGCUGCAGCGCAGGCUGGGACAGAGAGCAGCCCGGAUGCGCGGAGCAGACUUGGACUUCAGAGCACCUUCGCUGAAGCCGAGUGCUGCUGUGCCAGAGAAGUAAAAUGAAGCUCAGAGAAGUUAUGUCACCGGUACAGGAUGAAGCUGACUUGCAGCCAAGGCUUCGCCUCCAGCACCAUGGCCCUAGAUGUGGUGGCCUCACCUUAUUGACUGAGUUGCUUUCCCUGAUCUAUGAAGAUACAUAGUGAGCCAGUGAGAGCUUAAAAAAACUGUGAGCCAAUUUUGCAAGCACCUCUGGCAAGAUGUCGUGGUGGUCUAGAGGGGCUGUCACACAAUGCAGCUGGAGGAAGGUGAGGGUAUACCUCGGCCGUCCUCAUCGUCCCUCCUUCUUUCUUGUCCUGGUGCCCAGGGAUUGCUGUAGUAACAGUACAGGUCCCUCUGGAAUCCCGGGGGAACCGAAUAUUGGUAAACGAAGAGGUGAUGUGGCUGGUGGAGAAGAGGAUAUGGAGAUGGCAUAACACAAGCCCCAUGGACCCCCAGCUCCAGGCUGAGCCUGUGUGGACCACAGCACUGUGAUCCAGGUGUCCUCCUGCCUCCUGCCAUCUUUUGGAUUGUUUGGAAGCUCAAUUCAAAUUAUUCACGAAAACUCAAAUAUUUGUUUCCUAUUAAAAAAAAAAGUCUUCUUUUUAAAACAAACUCUGAGAUUGACCAAGGCACACAGAUGCCCUGGAGCUUCCUCCCCAACUCCACUGGGCUAUUCUCUCCCUUGCAGUUCAGCUGCUGCUUCCUUCCAUGCCAAAGAGCAUCCCCAUCUCCAACUCGUCCUUUCUCCUUUGUGCAUUAAAACAACUUGAGAUCCUCAGAAUGGACUGCUCCCCAAACUAAAACAAAAAAAUGCAAGCAUAAUAAAAUGCAUAGAAAGGCAUGGAAUCAAACUUGAAAUAUGCAAGGUUUGGGCAUUCCAUUAUUUAUGAGCAUGAAGGCCUUUCACAAAUCAAAAUCUCUUUUAAAUUGAAAGUGCCUUUCUUCCUCUCCCCCUCCUUCCCUCCUUUCCUCCCACCCUCAAUCCCUUCCCUUCUUUCUCUCCCUUUUUUUCUCACCUUCUCAACUUCUAUCUUUCUUAAGAUAAGAGGUUCGUGUGAUGCUCCUAUUUAUGUGGCUUUCUUUAAAAAUGAGAAGAGGAGGAGCCAGGCUACACCAAGGAAAUACUCAACCCCAUGCUUCUGCAGGUGUCAACCUAGAAGGCACCAAUCCAGGUGGAAGAGGUUCUCUCUCCUGCCCUACUGUCUUUGCCAGGGGUGGUGU